RNAcentral lists this long non-coding RNA (715 nucleotides) under Oreochromis niloticus (Nile tilapia). RNAcentral's name for it is "lncRNA (ENSONIG00000034386.1)". Lineage: Eukaryota; Metazoa; Chordata; Actinopteri; Cichliformes; Cichlidae. The record is from RNAcentral.
CGAAGACGACUGGAAAUCCUAACAUCUAUCAGCAUGUCGGCAGGAAACAAAAAAAUCUUGUUGCAGUCUCCUUCACUUACAUUUGAGCUUCACUUUUCUUCACGUCUAACAUGAAGUAAUUCAGUCAGUGAGAUGAUGUGAGGAAAAAACAAAAGGAAAGAGCCUUCGCACACAUUGACUUACUUUCCCUGCAGACGUGCUGAUGGGAUUCCCGGUAGUGCUAGUGGGUUGUUAUGUUGUAAGCUGUUUGGAGUUGCUUGGGAAGAGAAAGAUUAUUUAAUUGGGUAAGAUAGCACUGGUAGCACUUGCAUCAACUCACUGCGGCGCUCAGAGCACUCAGCCAGAGGAGGAAAAUCUGUUUCUGUCGGUCCGAUGAACCACCUGUCACCUGAUUCGAACAGGUUCUCCUCCACACAGUCCUCUUUGUGUGGAUGCCCUAAAAGGGCUUCCACACUAUUGAGUUCCUGUUUCUCUUUAAACUUUAUUCUUCAAGUUGCUUCCGUACGUUUUUUGGCACUUAACUACUCCCUCAGUUUUUAUCCGAUUUUCGCCAUUCAAACUUUAAAAAAUUCUGCUAUUUCUGCUAAUGCGGGCUAUGACUUUUGGUGCUCAUAACUUCUAUACUUUUUGAGAUAUUGAAUUUUUUUUUGCAAUAUUUUUUGCCCAUUUCUGCCAUAUUAUCAGUGGCCUAACUGAUUUUCCUUGCCGGGAUGAC